AUAGAAGCAAGUGGCAAGUGGCGAGUUGAAGGCCCUGAGUCGUCAUUCAAUACCUACACGGAGUGCUCGUCGUGCCCAAUUCAAGUAGGCGACUGGAUAAUGCCCAUCCGGAUGUUGGAACUCAAUAAACUGGAGGCGUAUAACAUCAUUUUGGGCAUGGACUGGCUCUCGAAGUAUUACGCCACGAUCGAUUGUAAGAAUAAAUUGAUCACCUUUCGGGAGCCAGGACAGAAGGAGUUCGUUUAUCGAGCUUGUAAAAGCUCUUGCUUCGUCGCGACGGUAUCGGCGACGAGAGCUAGAAAGUUGGUCAACGGCGGCUGCGUAGCAUUUUUGGCGACCGUCGUGGAAGUGGACCGAGUGGUUCCGAAUUUAGAGGAAUUAUCGGUGGUGCAGGAAUUUCCAGAUGUAUUUCCCGCGGAGUUACCGGGGAUGCCGCCGGAUCGGGAGAUCGAGUUCGUUUUAGACUUGGCUCCCGGGACGGCGCCGAUCUCAAAGGCCCCAUACCGUAUGGCGCCAGCAGAGUUAAGGGAACUGAGAGAUCAGUUGCAAGAAUCCUCGACAAGGGGUUUAUCAGGCCGAGCGUGUCGCCGUGGGGAGCCCCGGUGUUGUUCGGCGUUUCGACUCUGCGUGGAUUAUCGAGAGUUGAAUAGGGUCACGAUAAAGAAUAAGUACCUGUUGCCCCAAAUCGACGAUUUAUUUGAUCAGUUACAGGGAUCACGAGUUUACUCGAAGAUGGACCUACAAUCCGGCUAUCAUCAGUUAAAGAUUAAGUCGGAGGAUGUUCAGAAGACCGCGUUUCGCACGCGGUAUGGACACUAUGAGUACACGGUUGUGCCUUUGCUCGCUAAUGCCCCGGCAGCAUUCAUGGAUCUAAUGAACCGUGUGUUCAAAGCGUGCUUGGACCGAUUUGUCGUGGUCUUCAUACACGACAUCUUGGUCUAUUCGCGGAGUGACGAGGAGCACGCGGAGCAUUUGCGGAUAAUGCUUCAAAUCCUUCGGGAGGAGAAGCUAUUCGCAAAGCUAAAGAAAUGUGACUUCUGGCUUCGAGAGGUUGCCUUUCUGGGGCACGUGAUUUCCGAGAGCGGCGUUUCGGUUGACCCAAGGAAAGUCGAAGCAGUCGAGAAUUGGCCGCGUCCAACAAACGUUACGGAGGUUCGAAGCUUCAUAGGCUUAGCGGGCUACUAUCGACGGUUUGUGGAGGGUUUUUCGAAGAUUGUGACUCCGCUUACCCGUCUGACGCAGAAGGGCGUCAAGUUUUUUUGGAGCGACGAAUGUGACCGAAGCUUCAAUGAGUUGAAGAGAAGGUUAACGUCGGCUCCGAUACUCGCCUUACCGGUGCAGGGCGAGGACUUUGCGGUCUAUAGUGAUGCAUCCUAUCUGGGUUUGGGGUGUGUCCUGAUGCAAGGCGGGAGAGUGAUAGCUUAUGCGUCCCGUCAGUUAAAGGACCAUGAGAAGAAUUAUCCCAUUCAUGACUUGGAGUUGGCGGCGGUGAUCUUUGCGCUGAAGCUGUGGAGGCACUACCUAUAUGGUGCGCACUGCGAGAUCUACACCGACCACAAAAGUCUGAAAUAUCUAUUUACCCAGAAGGAGUUGAAUAUGCGUCAACGGCGGUGGUUGGAACUGUUAAAGGAUUACGAUGUUGAUAUCCUCUACCACCCCGGCAAGGCAAAUGUGGUCGCGGAUGCGCUUAGCAGAAAGUCGGCGAAGAACCUCGCUUUUGAUGUUACCCAACAAACACCCUUAUGGCUGGAUAUGGAGCGGCUGGACCUAGAAGUGGUCGCUCCCGAGGUCCCGACUCAGUUGAUGGUACUCGUUGUUCAACCGACCUUGUUGGAGAGGAUCAAGAACUUGCAAUCUGCGGAUCCAAGUCUCCAAAAGGUGCGGCGUAAUAUCGAGGAAGGUCAAGGCGGCGAUUUCAGUGUGGACGCCGGUGGCGCGCUUCGGUUUCAAAACCGGUGGUGUGUGCUCGAAAGUGAAGAGCUUCGCGAGCUGAUUUUGCAGGAAGCCCACCGGUCUCCAUAUGCUAAUCACCCGGGUGGCACCAAGAUGUAUCAUGAGUUGAGAGCACUCUAUUGGUGGUCGGGGAUGAAAGUUGAUAUUGGGCGCUUCGUGGCGAAGUGUUUGACUUGUCAGCAAGUGAAAGCGGAGUGCCGGUUUCCAGUGAGGACCGGUCCCUUACUGCGAAAAUGCCCAGUGAGGACUGCUGCAGAGGAUGAAAAGUUGAGGGGGCUAUUUGCAAAGUUGCCUAUAUGAGAGGUGGGGGACCCCUCUCUCCCUCUCAUUUGCUAUCUCCCUCUCACACUCUUUCCCUCUCUCUUUCUAGAAUGAAAGGAAAAGAAGAAGAGAAGGGAAAGAAGGAAAAGAAGAGAAAGAGGAAGGAGAAGACCAAGGAGAAAAAGAGGAUCAUCGUUUUCCCUCUCUCCUUCAAGCUAGAGCAAGCUUGGAGCUUGGUAUAGAGGUAAGUGAAAGUUUUGAGGAGCCCAAGGAUCUAUUUAGAUUGUAUCUAUCACCUAGAGAGGGGUGAAUAGGUGUACCGGCCAAAAACCACAAAUCUCGAUGCAAUAAAAAUAAAUGCGGAAAAUAAAAAGCACACCGAGAUUUACGUGGGAAAACUCCAACUUGGAGAAAAACCCACGGGACCAACACGCGAAAAAAUAAUUCACUAAGAGAAAAGAUUACAAGGUGAUUACCGACUCCACGGACUCAACCUCUCUUAACCUCCUAUGAAUCUCGCGCNAGCACCCCCGCCUCAUCAUGGAGGGGCCCCAUAUGUUCCCGUAUCAGUGGGACGCGCACUGAUGCCGCGUCAACCGGAGGUGACUCGAUCAGCGCCGAGCGGACGGGUAUUCGCCGCUCAGGCCCAAGCCGAGGAGUCUGCCCAAGCCGAUGAGCCUAAUGUUGUGGCAGGUAUGGUUUUGAUUAACGGAGUUCGCUCCAGGGCUAUGUUUGAUACAGGCACCACGCAUUUGUUCAUUAGUAGAGCAUUUGCACGCAUGCAUGACAUACACAUAGAAGCAAGUGGCAAGUGGUGAGUUGAAGGCCCUGAGUCGUCAUUCAAUACCUACACGGAGUGCUCGUCGUGCCCAGUACAAGUAGGCGACUGGAUAAUGCCCAUCCGGAUGUUGGAACUUAAUAAACUGGAGGCGUAUGACGUCAUUUUGGGCAUGGACUGGCUCUCGAAGUACUACGCCACGAUCGAUUGUAAGAAUAAAUUGAUCACCUUUCGGGAGCCAGGACAGAAGGAGUUCGUUUAUCGAGCUUGUCGAAGCUCUUGCUUCGUCGCGACGGUAUCGGCGACGAGAGCUAGAAAGUUGGUCAACGGCGGCUGCGUAGCAUUUUUGGCGACCGUCGUGGAAGUGGACCGAGUGGUUCCGAAUUUAGA
Molecule: long non-coding RNA, 3382 nt
Filed under: Ananas comosus (pineapple)
Lineage: Eukaryota; Viridiplantae; Streptophyta; Magnoliopsida; Poales; Bromeliaceae
Description: long non-coding RNA (ACOM_LNC037007)
Source: RNAcentral